RNAcentral lists this ribosomal RNA (301 nucleotides) under uncultured bacterium. Its description in RNAcentral is "partial 16S ribosomal RNA". It matches the Rfam family "Bacterial small subunit ribosomal RNA", at positions 509 to 808 of the family's 1533-position model. The record is from RNAcentral.
CAGUAGCGCGGUAAUACGGAGGGUGCAAGCGUUAAUCGGAAUUACUGGGCGUAAAGCGCACGCAGGCGGUCUGACAAGUCAGAUGUGAAAUCCCCGGGCUUAACCUGGGAACUGCAUUUGAAACUGUCAGGCUGGAGUCUUGUAGAGGGGGGUAGAAUUCCAGGUGUAGCGGUGAAAUGCGUAGAGAUCUGGAGGAAUACCGGUGGCGAAGGCGGCCCCCUGGACAAAGACUGACGCUCAGGUGCGAAAGCGUGGGGAGCAAACAGGAUUAGAUACCCGGGUAGUCCCUGUCUCUUAUACA